RNAcentral lists this ribosomal RNA (459 nucleotides) under Theileria annulata. Its description in RNAcentral is "SSU rRNA". It matches the Rfam family "Eukaryotic small subunit ribosomal RNA", at positions 580 to 1077 of the family's 1831-position model. The record is from RNAcentral. Lineage: Eukaryota; Apicomplexa; Aconoidasida; Piroplasmida; Theileriidae.
UAAUUCCAGCUCCAAUAGCGUAUAUUAAAAUUGUUGCAGUUAAAAAGCUCGUAGUUGAAUUUCUGCUGCAUUGCUUGUGUCCCUCCGGGGUCUGUGCAUGUGGCUUUUUUCGGACGGAGUUUCUUUGUCUGAAUGUUUACUUUGAGAAAAUUAGAGUGCUCAAAGCAGGCUUUUGCCUUGAAUAGUUUAGCAUGGAAUAAUAGAGUAGGACUUUGGUUCUAUUUUGUUGGUUUUAGGUACCAAAGUAAUGGUUAAUAGGAACAGUUGGGGGCAUUCGUAUUUAACUGUCAGAGGUGAAAUUCUUAGAUUUGUUAAAGACGAACUACUGCGAAAGCAUUUGCCAAGGAUGUUUUCAUUAAUCAAGAACGAAAGUUAGGGGAUCGAAGACGAUCAGAUACCGUCGUAGUCCUAACCAUAAACAAUGCCGACUAGAGAUUGGAGGUCGUCAGUUUUUACGAC